UCUGAGUCUCUCCAGGCACAUGUAAUAGCAUGAUGACCUUCAUGAUCAGAAGCUGUGGUGAGCAUCCCACUAAAGUCCCUACUGAAGCAGAACUGAAGCUCCUUACCCAUUGAACAACUCUCCAUUCCUUCUUCCCCCCAGCCCCCGACAACCACCAUUCUACUCUCUGUCUCGAAGAAUUUGAUCACUCUGGAUGCCUCUUGUAAGGUUGUGUUCUCUGGCUUCUACACCUGUCAGGUAUAUGCCUGCUCAGGAAUGGGCUGACUCCCUGGAAUCUGAGGCAAAGAGAGAAGGAAGGAGGAGAAGAAGUAAGGAGGAACAACACAGGCUUCUGUCAAAGAAAGGUCAAGAACAACAAGAUUCCGAGCAGAAGCAACAGCAAAAGCAUCUUUCAUCUGUAUGGCACUUCAAGGUUCACAAAGCACCUUCACCUUCAUUACCCUCCAUAACUUACGGGACAUCCUUUCCUGGAAACUGGGACAGAUAUUAUUAUCACCAGUUUACAAGUGAGAAAACUGAGCUCAGACAUAUUUAAGUGACUUGGCCAGACUCACAUAUGCCCAGAAGUCUAAGGGCCAUUGUUAACAUUCCUAUUCACCUAUGACGUCUUCCAUUCAGGUGUUUAGAAAAAAAGCUUAGAAUCUUUGCCUCAAGAAAUUUUGAGGCACACACAAACCUGAUAGACUCUCAGAGUUCUUGAAACUACCACCAUUCAUUUGUUAAAUUAUUUAUGGAAGACUAAAGGAUAUUUGCUACCACCACCAAUAUCUCAGCUUCUCCCAGAGCAUGAAAGACAUGUGAAGUAGAUUAGGAGGAUUCUAGUGCUUUUUUCAUAAACAUGUUGGCAUUUACUAGCAGGGAGUCCACGGAUGUCUUACCAUGAUGCUGGGACAUCUGCCUCACCUUUGGUCAUUAAUUAGCCUUGCAUCAUUGGUAUAUUGCAGCCCUCGUUUCCAACUCUGGACCAUCUAGUCUAAAAAUGGUUGAGUGAUUUAUACCUAGUGUAGUACAGAUUGCACUAGGACUCUUUUUUUUUUCUCUCUUUUCAAGGAAUUAUACCAGCAAAUUCGUAUCUAUAUCAGUAGUUUUAAAACUUUUCAUUUUUACCAGAAGAAUACCUUUAAAAAAAAAAAAAAGAAUCUUAUGUGGAGCCCAACCACAUAACACAGAUAAAAAUGGAACUGGUCUGGUCGAAAGGGGGGAGAUGGGAGACGUGGAGCUGCCAGGAUCCCAGCUACUUGGCAAGCCCCUUACCUCUCACAUGGUAAACUUAAGGCCCUUCUCUUGAACCCUAUAACUCCAAAGAACUGGGAGAAACUACUGGCCUGUAUAAUAAAAUUAAAACAUCAAUUUAUCCUU
Molecule: long non-coding RNA, 1359 nt
Organism: Callorhinus ursinus (northern fur seal)
Lineage: Eukaryota; Metazoa; Chordata; Mammalia; Carnivora; Otariidae
Source: RefSeq, a predicted model, not a curated record